UACGACUACAUAUCAGGCAUAUCAAUAAGCGGAGGAAAAGAAACUAACAAGGAUUCCCUUAGUAACGGCGAGUGAAGCGGGAAGAGCUCAAAUUUGAAAUCUUCAAGGUUUUACCUUGACGAAUUGUAGUUUAAAGAAGUGUUUUCUGUUGAAGUUUUGGUAAAAGUUCUUUGGAAUAGGACAUCAUAGAGGGUGAGAAUCCCGUAUUUGACCAUUAUUUUCAGCUGUGUGAUACACUUUCAAAGAGUCGGAUUGUUUGGGAAUGCAGUCCAAAAUGGGUGGUAAAUUUCAUCUAAAGCUAAAUAUUGGCGAUGAGACCGAUAGCGAACAAGUACCGUGAGGGAAAGAUGAAAAGAACUUUGAAAAGAGAGUUAAACAGUACGUGAAAUUGUCAAAAGGGAAGCGUUUGACACCAGUGUUGUUUUCUCGAAAAUCAAUUAAAAAAAGUUGGAUUUUGUGUUGUAUUGACCUUAACAGCUUGCUUCACUCUUUUCCAGCUUUUUUUAAUGCACUUUUCGUUUAACAAGUCAACAUCAGUUUCUUUUGUUGUAAAAGGGUCAUUGGAAGGUGGCUUUCUCUUCGGAGAAAGUGUUUAUAGCCUUUGAUCUCUGCAAUCGGAGAGACUGAGGUCUGCAGCGUAGAUCCUUCGGGGUUAGAUACAUUUGUGCUAAGCUACAGCUUUUCAUAGACAACUUGUUGACUAUGUUUAGUCUUGUGACUUACCCGCUUAUGCUAUUUUACCUACGCUUAGGAUGUUGAGCGCAUGUCUCUCUCU
Molecule: ribosomal RNA, 775 nt
Filed under: uncultured Neocallimastigales
Lineage: Eukaryota; Fungi; Neocallimastigomycota; Neocallimastigomycetes; Neocallimastigales
Description: partial large subunit ribosomal RNA
Rfam family: Eukaryotic large subunit ribosomal RNA
Source: RNAcentral